RNAcentral lists this ribosomal RNA (258 nucleotides) under uncultured bacterium. Its description in RNAcentral is "partial 16S ribosomal RNA". It matches the Rfam family "Bacterial small subunit ribosomal RNA", at positions 524 to 776 of the family's 1533-position model. The record is from RNAcentral.
UACGUAGGGGGCAAGCGUUGUCCGGAUUUAUUGGGCGUAAAGAGCGUGUAGGCGGCCAGGUAGGUCUGGUGUGAAAACUCGAGGCUUAACCUCGAGAUGCAUCGGUAACGAACUCUGAGCUAGAGUCCGGAAGAGGAGAGUGGAAUUCCCGUGGUGUAGCGGUGAAAUGCGUAGAGAUCGGGGAGGAACACCAGAGGCGAAGGCGGCUUACUGGACAGCUACUGACACUCAACUGCGAAAGCGUGGGGAGCAAACAGG